CUUGCUCCGCGUGUACUCACGGGAGGACUCGCAGACGUUACUGCCCUCUUGCGUGCCCCGGCCACCCCCGGGCGGCUUGUAGCCGGUGCGCGGGGUGGCUGGGGCUACGUGCAGAGCUGUCGCGGAGCCGGAACAGCAGCGGUGAAGCCCCUCGGCUCGGCCGAGACCGCCGUGCCCAUUGCUCGCCUCGGUUGCCGCCGCUUUAGCCGCAGCCGCUGCUGCCGCCGCCGGGGGAGAGGCAGCCUAUUGUCUUUCUCCGCGGCGAAGGUGAGGAGCUGUCUCGGCUCGGCCCGCGGGGGAGCCCCGGGAGCCGCACGGUGGCAUUUUUCAACUCCGCUGGAGCCAGUGCCCAGGAGGAACAAAGGGUGUGCUGCCAGCCCCUGGCUCACCCAGUGGCCUCGUCCCAGAAGAAGCCAGAGGUAGCGGCCCCAGCCCCAGAGAGUGGGGGUGAGUCUGUGUUUGGGGAGACCCACCGGGCCCUGCAGGGGGCCAUGGAGAAGCUGCAGCGACUUUAUGGAAGGAGAAGGUGGACCUGAAGGAGCGGGUAGAGAAACUAGAGCUUCAAUUCAUCCACCUCUCAGGACAGACAGACACCAUAGAAAGUACAUCAGCCAGGGGGCAGUGUCAGAGACGCAGCACUGGGAGAGGAGGACAUCGUCAGGCUGGCCCAGGACCAGGAGGAGAUGAAGGUGAACCUGCAGGAGCUGCGGGGCAGGUGUUGCAGCUUGUGGGCGACCACAAGGAGGGGCAUGGCAAAUUUUGACCAUUGCCCAGAACCCUGCUGAUGAGCCCACUCUAGGAGCCCCAGUAGCCCAGGAGCUUGGGUGUGCUGACGAGCAGGGUGGCUUUUAUCCUAGAUCACCACUGGAUUGCUGACAGAUAGAGGAGGUGGGACCCUGACUAUCACCCCUAAUCUGCAGUGGAUUUGGCUCUCGGCACUCCCAGGCUGGGAGCUGGAUACCUGCCCUGGCAGCAUGGCUCAGACUGCAUGACAGAGAACGUGGCCAGUGGAGACGGCACACUGGAAAUCAGAGUGAAUGUUCUUGAAAGAGGGUCACGGGUCAACAAGGCCCAGCCAAAGGAUGCAGUAGAACCAUUUUCCUUAGAAAUCUUUGGGAGUGAAGUAGGCUUCAGCCACUCCCAUCCCUGCCCUUGCGGCUACCACUACCCCAUUAGUUUAGACAGGGUCGGGCGGGGAGGGGUGUGGAGAAGAAAUGAGCUUGCCUGUGGCCCCCAGGCUCCCUCUGUCCUAGCUCAGGUCUGGGUGCCAUUCUUUACACUCGUGUGCUCGCUCACGCACACAUCACACACCUUGCUGGUCACACAGUCACAGACUCGCCUCUGCUCCUGUGGUCCAGUGGCCGGACACCCCCUGGGAUGGCUCAAAGGAGUCAGGACUUGGAAGUGGGGACAUCAGGGUAGCUGAAGGAAAUCCACACACCCAGAGCAUCUCGGAGUUCAGACUCUCAGACCUGAAGUAGGCGCCCCCGGGACUGGGCUAGGAGUUGGACGGAAUGGAGGAUGGAGGACAGCGAGAAGAAAGGAAGAGAAAUGCAAAGUGUGGGCAGCCGCCAAGAGUGAAAAUAGAGGGAAGUGUCAUGCAAGUGCUGGACAGAAGGCGGCAGGUGGGACGAGCCCCACAGCCCCCUCCUCAAAAACGACCACCUCCAGGACUCAGUGAUCCCUGGGGGGCAGGCUCUGCCAGCCCUCGGCCACACGUGGCUCCGGCACCCAUGGUCCCAGUGCCUUGGAUGGAGACGGCCAGUUCUGGCGGCCAGAUGUGGUGCUCUGGAAUCCAGUCCCAUUUCCUUCCUGGCCACGCCUGUCCAGCGGCCUCUUUGGCUGCAUUCAGCCCCUACUUACCUGGGGACCCCGGCUGGGGCACAAGAGCACCAGGGGGGUAGGGCCCAAAGGGAUCAGGGGAAGCCUCUGGCCUGGAGGGUAUGGGGCACACUUCCCCAAGGGCGGACCCAGCAGGAGGAAGCCCAGGAGCUGGGUCCUGCCGCCCAGGAGCUGGGCCCUGCCACCCAGGCCGGGCUAGGGACAUGGCAGGGCCUGGGCAUCCUGGCGCUGGACUUGGGCGACCUGGGAGGCACAGGGAGGGGAGAGAUGGGCGGCCCCGCCCCAGCGCAGUGCCGGCCACACCCAUGCACUGAAGCUCCUCCCUGCCACACCCCAAGGCGGUUGCCGGAGCUUAAGCCCCGCCCCCAGCAGCGAGAACAUCCCACCCCCCCCCCCCCCCCCCCCCGCAGCCAGUGCUCCUUGUCAAGCUCCCCCCGUCACUCCAGGUGGGAGCCACCCCGGUGAGGGGGUGUGCCACUUGUCCCCAGGGCACUCCUCUGGGCAUCCCGGGUGGGGGAUUUUGGGGCCGUGGGGGGCAGUCUCUGGUACCUGUGUGCGUCAGGGAUGCUCUGCACCUGCAACCAGGUGUCGUCCACGGGCGGGGGCAUGGUAACAGUGGUCCUGUUGAUGUCACCGAUGAUGCUGAGCGCCUCCUUCAGCGCGUGGUGCAUGUGCAGCAUCUCGUCGUGCUGCUGUGCCUGCUCUGCCAACUCCUCCAUCAGUGUGUUCUGGUUCCCACAUGAGUACAUAUUGGCCAGCGGCUCCGAGAUGAUGAACUCCGGGGUCUGAGAGUGGGCAAACAGGGAAGAAGGUUGGGACCUGGUGCCUGUGCCGCCCUGGCUGCCUUGCUGGGCCCUUCUGGGACUGUGCGCUGGACUUGGAGCCCCUUGGAGUAUGGCUUUUCACACGGGCUUCUAUACCGCUUCGACUGGAAGAUCCACCUCCCCACUGCCUUUUCUCACUCAGAUGGGGACACCGAGGUCCAGAGGAAAAGACACCUGUCAAAUGUCACAGAUCUGGGAGGGGACUUAAGACCUAUCAUGCCAAGAGGACACCUGUCUACUCAGUUUUUUUUUGGUGGGGCGGGGGGCGGUGAUAGGGUCUCGCUCUGUCACCAGGCUGGAGUACAGUGAUGACUGCUCACUGCAGCCUCCACCUCCUGGGCUCAAAGUGAUCCUCCAACGUCAGCCUCUCGAGUAGCUAGGACUACAGGCACAUGCCACCACCAAGCCCAGCUAUUUUUAAAAUUUUUGUGUGGAGACAAGGUCUCACUAUGUGGCCCAGGCUGGUCUCGAACUCCUGGGCUCAAGUGAUCCUCCUGCCUCGGCCUCCAGGAGUGGGAGUUGGAGUUGAUACCUGGAUACAGGAGCUCUGUGGGUGGGAGUGAGGCAAAACACAGGGUCCUGAGGUCUGGGGACCAAGCAAUGUCCUCUGGUGAAAAAAAUCCUGGACUUGCUGGCAGAAGUUUUGCCUCUUACUUGCCAUGUGCUCUGAAUACAUUUACCUGCCCUCUGG
This is an RNA transcript of Homo sapiens (human), 3357 nucleotides long. It is a transcript of the gene named GOLGA2 pseudogene 7, with no coding region annotated. NCBI's taxonomy places the organism in Eukaryota, Metazoa, Chordata, Mammalia, Primates, Hominidae. The record is from RefSeq and is marked validated.